Molecule: ribosomal RNA, 450 nt
Filed under: uncultured Glomeromycotina
Lineage: Eukaryota; Fungi; Glomeromycota
Description: SSU rRNA
Rfam family: Eukaryotic small subunit ribosomal RNA
Source: RNAcentral
AGCAGCCGCGGUAAUUCCAGCUCCAAUAGCGUAUAUUAAAGUUGUUGCAGUUAAAAAGCUCGUAGUUGAAUUUCGGGAUUUGUCAGUUGGUCGGGCUUCACUGUCCGUAUUGACUUGAUGGAUUCUUACCUUCUGAAUAACCAGCAUGCUAUUAAGUUAGUGCGUUGGGGAAGCAGAUCUAUUACCUUGAAAAAUUAGAGUGCUUAAAGCGAGCUAGUGCUUGAAUAGAUUAGCAUGGAAUAAUAAAAUAGGACGGCAUGGUUCUAUUUUGUUGGUUUCUAGGAUCACCGUAAUGAUUAAUAGGGAUAGUUGGGGGCAUUAGUAUUCAAUUGUCAGAGGUGAAAUUCUUGGAUUUAUUGAAGACUAACUUCUGCGAAAGCAUUUGCCAAGGAUGUUUUCAUUAAUCAGGAACGAAAGUUAGGGGAUCGAAGACGAUCAGAUACCGUCGUA